This 5040-nucleotide long non-coding RNA is filed under the name Sus scrofa (pig). RNAcentral describes it as "lncRNA (ENSSSCG00065010664.1)". The record is from RNAcentral. Lineage: Eukaryota; Metazoa; Chordata; Mammalia; Artiodactyla; Suidae.
UUGUUGUUGUUGUUGCUGCUAUUUCUUGGGCCGCUCCUGCGGCAUAUGGAGGUUCCCAGGCUAGGGGUUGAAUCGGAGCUGUAGCCACCGGCCUACGCCAGAGCCACAGCAACGCGGGAUCCGAGCCGCGUCUGCAACCUACACCACAGCUCACGGCAACGCCGGAUCGUUAACCCACUGAGCAAGGGCAGGGACUGAACCCGCAACCUCAUGGUUCCUAGUGGGAUUCGUUAACCACUGCGCCACGACGGGAACUCCCUACAUUUUUAAUAUAUAUUUCUGGUUGAUGAUGCUUGCUGGCUCCAAGUUUUUCAUUUAAUUUUUAUCAACUAACAUCUUGGUAGAAACUAGGGUAAACUUGGCAGCUGAGCAAAGGUAGUAAAAAGCUAUAGGGGUAAAGGAAAUGAAAAACAUAGAGAAAAGUUUCUUGGUUGGACACAGGCAAUGGUAUCCAAGAUAUACUUUCUUUCAUUUCAAAUAUUUCAUGUCCUGAGUGGUAAAAAUUAAAAAGACUGACAAAACAAAGUGUUGGUGAGAGUGGGGAGCAAUUUAAGCUCUCAUAAAUUUAUUCAUUGACUUUGGAAAGCCAUUUGGAAAUAUAUAAUAAAACUAGACGUAGACCUAUGCUGUGAUUCAGCUAUUUAACUUUUAGGUAUAUACUCAAGAAAAGUAAGUGCAAAUAUUUACCAAAGGUUAUGUACAAUGAUUUUCAUAGGACAAAAUGCCAAGAUCCCAAAACAUCAAUCAAUGGGAGAAUAGGUGUAUUCACACAAUGGAGUACCACACAGUAAUAAAAAGGAGUAACUGUGACUCCAACACAACAUGGUUGAUGGUUAAAUCUCUAGAAGUUAUCUGUAUUAGGCAGAAUUCUCCAGAGAACCAAGAGAAUGCACAUAAGGAAUUGGUUCACCUGGCUUUGAAGACUGAGAAGUCCCAUAGUUCGCAGUCGGCAAGCUGGAGACACAGGUGAGCUGUUGGUAUAAUUUUGUCCAAGUCCAAGGCAUGAGAAAACUGAUGUCCCAGCUCAGACAGAGAGCAAAUUCCUCCUUACCCCACUUUUUUCUACUCAUGCACCCAGAUGAUUGGAUGAGAAGCAAGCACACUUGGGAAGGCAAUCAGCUUUCCUCAGUCUACUGAUUUAAAUAUUUAUGUCAUCCAGAAAUGCCCUUACAGACAUACCCAGAAUGCCUAGGUACAUGUUUGGGCACCCAUGGCCCAGUCAUGCUGACACAUAAAACUAACCAUCACGAGUCCACUCCUUGUCAACUUGACACCCAUAACAUCUCCUUAAACCAUACUUAGUCUCAAACAUAGAUAAUAAAAAAUUGUAAUUCCACCUAACAUGACAGGACUAUACUACCUACAAUUGAAACACACUAACCCCUUCCCCAGAAGAGAAAGUCCUUGAAUGAUGUUUAUGCUUCUCCUAGUUUCUGGUAACUUAAGUACUAUGAUAUAGAAUUGAUACUGAAGUAACAUGGUAAUAAGUCAAUACAACUUACAUUACUUGAUAAAGGCAUCAGGAGAGGAAAACAAAGAUAUUUGCUAUACACACAACAUAUAACAACAAUUAUAGUUCUCAGUUCUGUAACAGACCACAUGAUCAUAGCUGGCAUUUAUAAUUACCCUCUUCCAUUACCCAUUACCUUUGACUUCAGAAAGCACUUCAGCUGGUUUAGCAGUUCAAUUUCCCCUUGGUAAUCAGCUCGUUUGCUCUGAUAUGUAUUCCUCAGUCAGAAGCAAUGGUGUGUGAAAACAUAAUAUGGUGGAUAAAGUAUUCUGUAAAGUCACAGAUGGUAAUUUUGGCAGAUUUGUUGCAGGCAAGGAAGGCAAAUUCAUAUCAGAAUAAACAUCUAUUCCAAAAGGCUGCUCCUUCCAUGAUACAAGAUUCCAUUUCAGCCAACCUACCACAAGGUAGUUGGCUGAUUACCUCAUGGAGUGGUGCCAAGCUGGGGACUCAGUGUUGGUCUCUACUGCUGGCAGAUUGGGCACUCAGCUGUGGCCAUAGCAAGUCAGUCUUGGUGAAGAGAAGUUCAUGUUGUGCAGCCCAUGUAUAACAUCUCUCCCUGACACCAUGGCUACUUUUUCAUGAAUCCAACAGUCAAUGACAUAUGGCUGAGGAAAGAGAUUGGCUAGUAGAAUAGAAUAGCUCCUCCUAUUUGAUUGAUUAUUAAAAUCCUCUUCUCCUGAGGUCACCCUUUGAUGAGUAUUCACAUGGUACACAAAUAACUUCAUUUUUUUGGCAUUCAAAGAGGUCUACUCACAUACCUCUUCCUCAAAUUUCCUUGUCAUCAAUUUUCCAACCAUGUUCAUUUCAAGUCUCUGACCAUCCAGCCGAAUGGUAAUCAGGCAUUAACCAUAGCCCAUGAAUUAGUUUCAUACAUCUGACCUUUUCUCCUUAGAAGCAAAGUGAACAACCAGGUGUCCUGUCCAAAGCUCAGCUAACUGGGAGGAUUGUCUUGACCACUGUCCUUCAGGGCUGUCCCAGAAAUGGGCUGUAAUGUUGUAGCUGUCUACUUCAAAGUGGUACAUGCAUAUUAUGCAAAACAAUCUAUAAAUCAAACCUGAAUCUUCUCCUCCUCUCAGAGCUGGUGGUAGGGAACUCUAUGAGACUGUAGGUACAUUCUGAGAGAGAGAAAGAGGUAGUGUGGCAGGAAUUAGGAUCAUGGACAUUUGAGUCAUUUAUUCAUGUAACUUGUAACUUCGGGGACUGCUCAGGCCCAAUCACAUUACAUACCACUUGCAUUUGACAAUGGAGUGCUAUAGCGCACACCCAACUUUAUGGCUUUCUGGGUCCAGGAAACACAAUUCAUGAUUGUUAGAUUAGAUCCCAUGGUAACUUGAUGGUCAAUGCUUCAGACUUUGGUCUCUGGUAAGUCCCAUAGGAGACAAAGAGCUAUUUCUCAAAAGAAAAGUGGUUCUCUGAAGAAGAUGUCAGGGUCUUGCUUCAAAAUCCUAAAGACCCGCCAAAGACUUCAAAAAGCAUCCCUGUGUGUCACUGACAUACAACUGAAUCUAUUGGAUCAUAUGGCAGAACAGCUUGCACAGCAGAUCAGACAUGUUGUAGAGCCUUCUCUUGUUCUGGCUCCAUUUCAAAGCUAUCAGCUAUUUAGGACCUGGUAAAUGAGAUGGAGUAACACACCCAAAUGAGGAAUAAGUUGCCUCCAAAAUCCAGAGUUCUCUCUUUGGGAGCACUGUGCCUCUUUCCUUCCUUCCUUCCUUCCUUUUGGUUGUAGGAGGGGCCGGAUGCAGCAAGUUAUCCUUCACCUUACAAGGGAUGCUUCAAAAUGCCCUAUACCACUGAGCUGCUAGAAAUUUCACAGAGGUAGAAGCCCCCUGAAUUUUUGUUGCAAUUAUUUUCUACCCUCUGAUAUGCAAAAUCUUCCUGAGAAGUCUGGAGUUGUUGCUACAUCUUGCUCACUUAGGUCCAAUCAGCAUAAUGCCAUCAAUGCAAUGGACCAGUGUGGUAUCUUGUGGAAAAAAAAGGUGAUCAAGAUACCUGUGAAAAACAUUAUGACAUGGGACUAGAGAGUUGGUCUACCCAUGAGGUAGGACAGUGAAGGUAUACUGCUGAAACCAAACAGCUUCUGGUGGACUGAUGGACAGGGAUAAAGAAAAGGGCAUUUGCCAUAUCAGUAGCUACAAACCAGUUACCAGGGGAUUUGUCAAUUUGCUCAAGCAAUGAGACCACAUCUACUACAGCAGCUGCAAUUAGAGUCACCAUCUGGUCAAGCUUACAAUAAUCUACUGUCAUUUUCCAAGAUCCUUAUGUCUUCUUCAUGGGCCACAUAGGAAAACUGAAUGGGUAUGUAUUGGGAAUCACCACCCUUGCAUCUUUCCAGUCUUUGAUGAUGGCACUAACUCUGUGAUACCUCCAGGUAUGCAGCAUUGAUUUGGGUUUACUAUUUUUCUAGGUAGAAGUGGCUCUAGUGGCUUUUCCUUGGUCUUUCCACCAUAAGAGCCUUCACUCCACAGGUCAGGGAACCAAUGUGGGGAUUCUGCUAGCUACUCAGUAUUUCAUCCAUUUACGUAUUCUGAACUGGGGAAAUAACUACAGAAUGGGCUCAGGGACCCAUCAUUUCCUCUCCUCAAUUCACAAUGAUCCUAGUAAAAGGCCAUAGCCCAUGGAGAAGGUUUAGAGAAAUAUUACUAAUAUAAUUUUUUGGUAAUGUCUCAGGGUCCUCCUACCAUGAGAUGUGGCCUCCUCUUCAUUCAAGGGAUUUUGAAUCUAUAAACUGGCUUAAGUCUGGAAGUUGAUUGAGGGGGUGUGAUCCUCUCUUUUUAUGACUUAGUUUUGGCUUUAAUUCUCUUGACCUAUAACUUUUCUGUUGUAAGUGUAAGGCAACAGUGAAUGAAUUAGGUACUUAAAAAACAAUUUGCUAUAAGCAGCAGUAUUUCCUUAUGAUUAAAAUAAGGACUACGGAAGUAAAUAUCCAAUCAGAGUUAGUAUCCCAGCUCUACCACUUGUUACUCUGUGAUACAUGCUUUGGGUUAGUCAUGUUAACCUCCCUAUGCCCUAGAUUUCUAUCUGUAAAAUGAGAACAAUAAUGGUGCUUAUCAAUGUGAGUUGAUUUGAAGAUUAAGGUGUUAUAAUAUGUAAAGUGCUUAGGAAUCAUGCCUAGCACAUAGUAAGCAGUACGAAGUUUUUAGCUAUUGUUUUUUUCUAACUUUUAUUUUUUAAAGUGAAUGUCUAUUGUUAAUUUGAUAUCUGAGAUUUCUAUGACAUCUUCAUAGUUUAGUUUUUUUUAAACUAUUGACUACCAUUCCUUUUUUAAAAAAUACUUUAAUCUAUUGUUUCAAGUUUAAUUUUAUAUCAACAGAAAUAGAACAAAUAUAUCCCUUAUUAUUAACCCUUAAGCUAAGGAUCUCUUAGAGUAGAGGUUCUCAAACUUAAUUGUACAUCAGAAUCAGGAGUUCCCAUCGUGGCUUAGCAGAAAUGAAUCCGACUAGUAUCCACGAGGAUGUGGGUUCGAUCCCCAGCCUUGCUCAGUAGGUUAAGGAUCCGGCGUUAUUGUGAGCUGUGGUGUAGGCUGGCAGCUA